Phragmites australis (common reed) is the source of this 1400-nucleotide long non-coding RNA. RefSeq lists it as uncharacterized. Lineage: Eukaryota; Viridiplantae; Streptophyta; Magnoliopsida; Poales; Poaceae. The record is from RefSeq and is a predicted model, not a curated record. The transcript is spliced from 3 exons.
CAUUUAACUUCUGUAAAUGGUGAACAAGUUAGGUUGUAAUGAUUGAUUUUGUUCUUUUAGAAGAGCUGUUAUUUAUGAGGAAAAGAUUUGAAGCUUUCACAAUUGUAUCUUGACCUGCUGAUAAUCAAUUUGUUGUGCUUAAAGCAUGCGAACACAUGCAAGUUGAGGGCAGGUAAGAAACAAAUCAUUCUGACCUUAUAUUUCUUAUAGCCAUUUAUUUUCUGCAAUAUGCAUUUCCAAGGUCAACAUGAAUAAUGCUGCACUGAGAAUGGAAUUUUUUGCACCCACUUAGAUAGAUAUAACUUGGUACUGCGUUAAUAUUGAUUAUUGAGCUUGAGCAACUACUACAAAAUGUGUUGAUUUCUGCAUUAUGUAAUAGCUCAUAGCUCACAUACUAGAAUGUAGGCUGCGGACUUUCUUAAAAUUAAGCUGCUAAGACAAUAUUUUUUCUGGCAUUUAGGUAGAUCCUCCCUUUCACUCCCUCCUGUGUCAUAUUUUGGCCUUUCUAAGAAAUGUAUUAGUUGCUUCCAAAGAAUAACUGAUAUCAAUUUGGAAUCCAAUCUCUCUCUAAGUUUGCAAAGCAACCUUAUAGUUGGCAGCCCCUCUUAGUUUAGAAGACAUCUUCUUCAGUCACCAUGUACUUUUCAAGUACUAAACAUCCAUGCACAAUUAAUGCUCAAUUAAUGCUCAAUUAAUUAAGGUAAGGGCUUCAAAAUGAUAAUUGGUACCUUUGAGCCAACUACUCUAGUAAUUUAAGAAAGAACGCUGAAUUAUAUCGACCAGCCAAGGCGAUGUUUACUACUAAGAUGUUUGUAAUGUCACCAUCCGACAGGUACCGAGCCUCAUACUUCAGAAAUAUAGCUAGUAUGUGUUUCAAGCAGCAAGGAAGCUGUGCCUUUCAUGCCUCCGAUUGCAGAUCAGCUGAUGCAGAUGCAGAUCCUGCUUGAUGCUGUGUAGUUGAUUCAUAUGAUAUUAUAUAUUGCCACAUAGUGAAACCACUGCAGUCAGUAUUCUUGAUUUAUAUGCUUCUCGCAUGCAACUUGUAAUUAUGGGUUUCCUAAAAUUAUAUAACUUAGCUGACAGAAACAUAUUUAAAUGUCAACUUCAUAUGAGUAUUAUGCAUCAGAUUGCAAUGGUUUGCUCUACCUUUAGUUUUUCUGAAGGAUGCAGCAGUUGAAGUCUUCAGUCAGAACCCUGAAGUGGUUGUGAGAUUUAUCACAACUCACACUGGAGAAGUGAUUUCUUUUAAAAAAAGAAACAAUGGCCUUGGGAAGUCUAGAUACCACAGGUAACGGUUGCCACAGACUACAUGAUCUAAUGGCUGCCACAAACAACAUGAUCUCCAUAGACAACAACAUGAUUGCUCAGAUGCUACAGGCAUUAGCCAAAGAUUAGUUGCU